This is a long non-coding RNA of Corapipo altera (White-ruffed manakin), 1719 nucleotides long. RefSeq lists it as uncharacterized. The transcript has 4 exons. Lineage: Eukaryota; Metazoa; Chordata; Aves; Passeriformes; Pipridae. The record is from RefSeq and is a predicted model, not a curated record.
CAUUGUUUCCUGGUUUCAACCCUGAACUACUGAAGUUUAGGAGGAAGUGAUCUGAUAAUCACAAACUGAACAAUCUAAUCACAAACUGAACAAUCUAAUCAUCACGAUCUGAGUUGAAACACAUUUUAGUGUCCAUUUGGUUUGAGGAGGAUAUGAACACACUCAGCAUGUUGCCAGCUUGAGUUCCAAACAAAAAUUAGAUGUAGGCUGAAGGUCCCAUUUUAUGAGAAAGUUGAUCAAAAUCACACCUUUAAUAGAACAUACACCAUCAGAAGGGAGUAAGAAUGAAGAACUGCUUACCAAAAGCUACAAGGUGAGAAUCUACAUUUGAAAAAAUAGGGUUCUAGUUUCCUUCCGUUUUACAGACAUCUAAACACUUGUUUUGACCUCUUGUGGUAUGGUGGAGAGUGGCCAAAAAUAGGGGAUGGUACUUUUUCAGUGAGUCCAUUUUGACUGCAGGUCUGAAAGCAGCUUUUCAAAAUGGCAAGUGAGGUGGUUUAUGCUGAGGUAUCACCCAAGGAAAGAGUACAUUUCACUUCAGAAACUUCAGAUACAGGUGAUCCAAUCACAUAUGCUGAGGUGAAGGUGGAAUGGAGAUCUGACAGACCUGACAGCACAUCCAAAAUUACACAUUCAGUGACCUGCUUGGAGAACUCACACCAGUGUUAUGUUGUUUUCGCUCUGGUCUUCACUGCAGUGAUUCUGCUCAUCACUGUCAUCCUCUUGGCAGUGAAAUGUCCCAGCCUCUCAGGUGGAUGCUGACGUCUUGCUGACACACAGGAUAACUCAGCCCAGGAAGGUUCUGCUUGUUCAAUAGAACAGGACAUAAUGCUUGUUUUCUUUUACAUGAUUUUCUCUGAAGAGACCUGUAUGAAAGAAGACCUGCCAUCAGUCUGAUCACUCUUCAGUUAUGUCAUCCCAGAUCUCUGUUAAACCUCUAACCUCUCCAUAUCUGGGCAAGACAUAUAUUAAUUUUAUUUGGAGUUUUCUUAAACCUGUAAUACCAGCAACCAUUCAAUUAUAUCAAUGCGUGUAGCAAGGCCUGGGUUCAAGCUGCUGCAUCAAAAGUUGUAUUUGGGUCUUGUUUAGACUACAAAAAUGACCCAGUGGACUGCUUGGAGACCUACAUUUAAUUCACAUCUGACUUGAUUCUGCAAUACUUUGCAAUAUAGAUAAGCUUUUAGAUUGCAUUAUGUGCAACUGCAAAAAUUCAUGGACAAAACAGUGAAUGUCAAAGGUUGCACUGAACUUUUAUAUAAAGCCCAGGUUUGGACUUGAUUUUUCUUCCCUUGACAGCCUUCAGUGAGAUUUGUAUGAGGGGAGUAUUGAAGAUGCAAGAAACUAUAUUCAUUUAGUAGAGAGGUCUCAGUCUCAUCCCUUCAUUGGCUUGAAUAAAAUUAUUCUGUUCUACUUGUCCAGAAGAGUGUCUCACAAUAUAUUCAUUCUGUCUUGGGGCAAUAAUUAAUUUUGUAUUCGUUUGGGGUUUUUUUCCCCAAAUGUUGUAGCUUCAGUUAAAACAGAGUCCUCCUCUGGAUGCACCCCGGGUUCAGAUGUAUGUGUUGGUAAUUAUUAUUAUAUUGUCUGGUUUUAUGUUAUUUUCAGUUCUUAUCCAUUAUAACUUCUUUGGGGCAGGCUGAUAUCAAUGAUUUGCAGACCCCAAGCAGGAGGAGGCUGCAUAGCAAAUAUUUCUAUAAUUGUUCCUGUACUUAAGAUGUGUUG